AGAGUUUGAUCCUGGCUCAGGAUGAACGCUAGCGGCAGGCCUAAUACAUGCAAGUCGAACGGUGAUAUUUAUAUCAUAGUGGCGCACGGGUGCGUAACACGUAUGCAACCUACCUAUUAUUGGGGGAUAGCCUUUGGAAACGGAGAUUAAUACCGCAUAAUACGAUUGACUGGCAUCGGUUGAUUGUUAAAGCUUUGGCGAUAAUAGAUGGGCAUGCGUCCAAUUAGUUAGUUGGUGAGGUAACGGCUGACCAAGACGAUGAUUGGUAGGGGAUCUGAGAGGAUAAUCCCCCACACUGGCACUGAGAUACGGGCCAGACUCCUACGGGAGGCAGCAGUAGGGAAUAUUGGGCAAUGGGCGGAAGCCUGACCCAGCCAUGCCGCGUGCAGGAAGAAGGCGUUAUGCGUUGUAAACUGCUUUUUUAUAGGAAGAAGGAUCCCUUGCGAGGGAAGGUGACGGUACUAUAAGAAUAAGCACCGGCUAACUCCGUGCCAGCAGCCGCGGUAAUACGGAGGGUGCAAGCGUUGUCCGGAUUUAUUGGGUUUAAAGGGUGCGUAG
Molecule: ribosomal RNA, 558 nt
Filed under: uncultured bacterium
Lineage: Bacteria
Description: bacterial SSU rRNA
Rfam family: Bacterial small subunit ribosomal RNA
Source: RNAcentral